Molecule: ribosomal RNA, 374 nt
Filed under: uncultured organism
Description: partial 16S ribosomal RNA
Rfam family: Bacterial small subunit ribosomal RNA
Source: RNAcentral
GUAGGUGGCAAGCGUUGUCCGGGAAUUAUUGGGGCGUAAAGCGCGCGCAGGCGGUUCUUUAAGUCUGAUGUGAAAGCCCACGGGCUCAACCGUGGAGGGUCAUUGGAAACUGGAGAACUUGAGUACAGAAGAGGAAAGCGGAAUUCCACGUGUAGCGGUGAAAUGCGUAGAGAUGUGGAGGAACACCAGUGGCGAAGGCGGCUUUCUGGUCUGUAACUGACGCUGAGGCGCGAAAGCGUGGGGAGCAAACAGGAUUAGAUACCCUGGUAGUCCACGCCGUAGCGAUGAGUGCUAAGUGUUAGGGGGUUUCCGCCCCUUAGUGCUGCAGCUAACGCAUUAAGCACUCCGCCUGGGGAGUACGGCCGCAAAGGCUG